GACGAACGCUGGCGGCGUGCUUAACACAUGCAAGUCGAACGGUGAAGGUGGAGCUUGCUCCGCCGGAUCAGUGGCGAACGGGUGAGUAACACGUGGGCGACCUGCCCCUGCCUUCGGGAUAACUCCUCGCAAGAGGUGCUAAUACCGGAUACGACUCCUGCAGGCAUCUGCGGGACUGGAACGUUUUUCGGUCAGGGAUGGGCCCGCGGCCUAUCAGCUUGGUGGUGGGGUAGUGGCUCACCAAGGCGACGACGGGUAGCCGGCCUGAGAGGGCGACCGGCCACACUGGGACUGAGACACGGCCCAGACUCCUACGGGAGGCAGCAGUGGGAAUAUUGCGCAAUGGGCGAAAGCCUGACGCAGCAACGCCGCGUGAGGGAUGACGGCCUUCGGGUUGUAAACCUCUUUCAGCAGGGAAGAAGCGAAAGUGACGGUACCUGCAGAAGAAGCACCGGCUAACUACGUGCCAGCCGCCGCGGUAA
RNAcentral lists this ribosomal RNA (482 nucleotides) under uncultured bacterium. RNAcentral's name for it is "partial 16S ribosomal RNA". It matches the Rfam family "Bacterial small subunit ribosomal RNA", at positions 28 to 523 of the family's 1533-position model. The record is from RNAcentral.